RNAcentral lists this ribosomal RNA (830 nucleotides) under uncultured organism. RNAcentral's name for it is "bacterial SSU rRNA". It matches the Rfam family "Bacterial small subunit ribosomal RNA", at positions 506 to 1328 of the family's 1533-position model. The record is from RNAcentral.
UGCCAGCAGCCGCGGUAAUACGAAGGUGGCGAGCGUUGUCGGAAUCACUGGGUUAAAGCGCGCGUAGGCGGAAUGGCAUGUGCUUUGUGAAAUCCCACGGCUUAACCGUGGAAUUGCUUGGCAAACUGCUAUUCUUGAGGCAAGCAGGGGUGUAUGGAACUCUUGGUGGAGCGGUGGAAUGCGUAGAUAUCAAGAGGAACGCCAAUGGCGAAGGCAGUACACUGGGCUUGUCCUGACGCUGAGGUGCGAAAGCGUGGGGAGCGAACGGGAUUAGAUACCCCGGUAGUCCACGCUGUAAACGAUGUCUACUAGGUUGUGGAAGUUCUGACGCUUUCACGGCCGAAGCAAAAGUGUUAAGUAGACCGCCUGGGGAGUACGGUCGCAAGGCUAAAACUCAAAGGGAUUGACGGGGGCUCACACAAGCGGUGGAGCAUGUGGAUUAAUUCGAAGCAACGCGCAGAACCUUACCUGGGUUUGACAUGCUUGGAUGCCUGCCUGGAAACAGGUUAGGUUGCCCUUCGGGGUGAAACUUGCACAGGUGCUGCAUGGCUGUCGUCAGCUCGUGUCGUGAGAUGUCGGGUUAAGUCCUUUAACGAGCGAAACCCUUGCCGUUAGUUGCCAGCGAGUAAUGUCGGGGACUCUAACGGGACUGCCGGUGUUAAACCGGAGGAAGGUGGGGAUGACGUCAAGUCCUCAUGGCCUUUAUGCCCAGGGCUUCACACGUGCUACAAUGGCGUACACAAAGCGAUGCGAUACCGCGAGGUGGAGCAAAUCGCACAAAAGACGCCUCAGUUCGGAUUGCAGGCUGACAACUCGCCUGCAUGAAGUUG